CCUACGGGAGGCAGCAGUGAGGAAUAUUGGUCAAUGGGCGCGAGCCUGAACCAGCCAAGUCGCGUGAGGGAUGAAGGCUCUAUGGAUCGUAAACUUCUUUUAUAAGGGAAUAAAGUGUGGGACGUGUCCUAUUUUGUAUGUACCUUAUGAAUAAGGAUCGGCUAACUCCGUGCCAGCAGCCGCGGUAAUACGGAGGAUCCGAGCGUUAUCCGGAUUUAUUGGGUUUAAAGGGUGCGUAGGCGGCCUUUUAAGUCGGCGGUGAAAGUCUGUGGCUCAACCAUAGAAUUGCCGUUGAAACUGGGUGGCUUGAGUAUGUUUGAGGCAGGCGGAAUGCGUGGUGUAGCGGUGAAAUGCUUAGAUAUCACGCAGAACUCCGAUUGCGAAGGCAGCCUGCCGAGGCAUGACUGACGCUGAUGCACGAAAGCGUGGGGAUCGAACAGGAUUAGAUACCCCUGUAGUC
RNAcentral lists this ribosomal RNA (460 nucleotides) under uncultured bacterium. RNAcentral describes it as "partial 16S ribosomal RNA". It matches the Rfam family "Bacterial small subunit ribosomal RNA", at positions 338 to 795 of the family's 1533-position model. The record is from RNAcentral.